GAUGAAGAACGUAGCGAAAUGCGAUAAGUAAUAUGAAUUGCAGAAUUCAGUGAAUCAUCGAAUCUUUGAACGCACAUUGCGCCCGCCAGUAUUCUGGCGGGCAUGCCUGUUCGAGCGUCAUUUCAACCAUCAAGCCCCAGGCUUGUGUUGGGGUCCUGCGGCUGCCGCAGGCCCUGAAAAACAGUGGCGGGCUCGCUGUCACACCGAGCGUAGUAAUACAUCUCGCUUUGGACGUGCGGCGGGUUCUUGCCGUUAAACACCCCCCCUUCUCAAGGUUGACCUCGGAUCAGGUAGGAAUACCCGCUGAACUUAAGCAUAUCAAUAAGCGGAGGA
RNAcentral lists this unclassified non-coding RNA (333 nucleotides) under soil metagenome. RNAcentral describes it as "partial contains 5.8S ribosomal RNA, internal transcribed spacer 2, and large subunit ribosomal RNA". The stretch from base 1 to 120 matches the Rfam family "5.8S ribosomal RNA", at positions 35 to 154 of the family's 154-position model. The record is from RNAcentral.